RNAcentral lists this ribosomal RNA (253 nucleotides) under uncultured bacterium. RNAcentral's name for it is "partial 16S ribosomal RNA". It matches the Rfam family "Bacterial small subunit ribosomal RNA", at positions 524 to 776 of the family's 1533-position model. The record is from RNAcentral.
GACGUAGGGCGCGAGCGUUGUCCGGAUUUAUUGGGCGUAAAGAGCUCGUAGGCGGCUUGUCGCGUCGACUGUGAAAUCUCAGAGCUCAACUCUGACAUUGCAGUCAAUACGGGCAGGCUAGAGUUCGGUAGGGGAGACUGGAAUUCCUGGUGUAGCGGUGAAAUGCGCAGAUAUCAGGAGGAACACCGAUGGCGAAGGCAGGUCUCUGGGCCGAUACUGACGCUGAGGAGCGAAAGCGUGGGGAGCGAACAGG